GGAGGCGGCUCGGCCCCUUAUAGGGCAGGGCGGCCCGCGACACCCCCGGCCCGCUCGUCAGCACACCCCUCCCGGCGCCCCUCGCCGCUCCCCGCGCCCACUGCGGACCGGUCGACCCGCACCCGCUUUCACCCGCCUUUCCCUUCUUGGCUGUAGUAAAGUUCCUGCCAAAUUGUAGGCGGACGGGGACGGAUGGAAACACGAGCGCGGGACAGACCAGGUCCAGCAAAUCCAGGCCCAAGAGCCGUCCGUGGCGGCUACGGAACAACCGACCGAUACUCCGGUCCGGGAGGACGUGGGGGAAGUGAGCGACAGACUUGGAGGGACAACUCUACAGACUUUCGUAAGUUAGAAGAGAGGAGGUGGUCGACGGAGUAUAUUGAUGGCUGAGAGGAAGCCCCGAGAAAUGGGAGAGGAGACUGAUGGACGGCAGGGUCAAUCCAGGAUGGGAGGACAGCUACCAGGCAUUUUUCAGUUUCGCCUAAGAGACCUGCAGGAGUGGGUGAUGCUGAUCAGCCCAUGGAGUACGUGGUGGAAGUAGUCAUUUACCAAACAGGCUCUGGAAGAUCGUGACAGUACCGAAGAUAAGACAAAAGAUAACAGGGCAAGGAAGUGAUGAUGAGUAGACUUGGCACAAUUCAAAGAGAUGCUUACAAAAUAUAAACUGUGCACGUGCGAAAAGAAAAUUUGAACAGUGCUAGAGGUUGUUAAUCACCAAAUAGUCCAGGGGAUGACCCAGAGGUACACACUUGAUAGACCUAUGGAAGGGCAGGAAUAUAGUAGUAUAUCAGAGGCUCUGAACUGAGUCCCAAAACUCGACCUCCCACCUCCUUCCCAAAAAGGUCAAACAUUUGCUUAGGGUCAAAUGGGAAAGGAGACCUGUGGGCACUGGAUGGGUUGAGGAGGGAGGACAAGGCUUAAGAGGUGUACCUGAUCCUAAGCAUGCGGUAUGGCCAUUUGAUCUUCACUGGGAGACCUAAGUGUAACUCCUGGCAGGUCCAUGUUCACAAUUAAUAACUUUGAGCAAAUUACACAAAAAUAUUCACCAACAACUAGUUGGUAGCUCACAGAGGCAAAUCCUGCAAGAAAUCAAGUCUGCAUGCCUUGGGACAUGGCUUGUCUUGAGGCAGGAGACCAGAAAUAAUAUGUAUGGAAAACAAAGAAAAAAUGUGGAAAAGAGAAUUUUACUCUAAGGUCCUGGAUAAGUGAGAUGCCAACACAAUCAGAGAAGUAUGGCAGGCCCUACAGAAACUUGGAGAAGAACAUAAUCUCAGACAUCAAAGCUCUUCUCCUAACUAUUGCUGCAGUACCUAAUAUUAAAUAAAAGCAUGUGGUUAUUUGCUGUAAUCUCACAAAUUGAGAUUUUUGGGAUUUUUUUAGAAGCUAAAACUUUCCAUACUUUGAGUCCAAGCAUGAAAGGUCUGGAUUUUAAUCUGGGGUCGCCUUCAAUUCUCCCCUCCAAGGGCACGUACAGAGGAUGAGGCUGGAGACUGGAUUAUGGAUAGGAGGGGAGAGGGUUACUUUCAACCUUUAUAAGCAAGGCAUCUGAAAAUUAAAGUUACCCCACUGGUAAAAGUUAUUUAUUUAUGGAAAUUUUAGGAGAACAGUCACCUCCACCAUUUCAAAACAUCAUAAAGACAUGGAAAAUUACACUUUCCCUGCUGCGAAAGCUAUCUUUCGACCUUUUGUCCAGUCAAAUAACAAAAACAGCUGAACUUUGAAACCAGAGGGCUUGGCACACAUUGUAUGUACUGUCCUCAAUGAGGCGUUUAGAGUUUUCAAAGUAAGGAAAAAAAAAAAAAAAAAAAAAAGGCUUGAAAUUAAGUGCAAGUGAUUCACUUCAGAAAUGUGGCAGUGAGCACGCCCUGUGGACAGAGUCAUUAAACAAUGCCCUGAGCUUCACCAGACUGGAGCUGGGAUCCGAGUCCGAAAGAAAAGAUCUCUAGCAGCCUGCCUUGUCAUACCUAACACUAAGAAGAAAUGUCUUCAUAGCAAAAUGUGGCUACUCCAAACUAUAAAAGUAGCCUUAGGUUCUAUCUGCCAUAUUUGAGAAAUAUAUGGACUCAAGUACUUGCAUAAACUUAGUAGAGUUUCUGUAGAUUCUCUUUUUAUUAAUCUGUAAAGAUUUCGUAAAGGCACUUGUAAUUUUGAUUGCUUAUAGACUCUCCAUCCUAGUAUGUCAUUUGCAUAGUCUGUGUCCAAGGUAUUACAUAAGGAUUCAUAGAAGAAUGAAGCGAAAAUAAUUUGCAUCUUAAGAAAACAGAGCUACUUUCCCUUUCCUAAUCCCUAAGGAAAAAGUUUUCCACCCAGUCUUACAUAACACAUUCCUUUUACGAUAAAGUGUGUAAAGUCUACUGUUUGUACAUGGAUCUUUCUUUUUGAUGACAAGACUUCCAGGAGUUGGUACAGAUAAAAAGUCCCCUUGUUCUAGGAGUUGAAAUUUAAAAAAAAUACUUUUUACUGUUGUUAUUAUUAUACCGUCACUCUACAACAGGUGGCAUUAUAUAGAAAGUCUUAUGCUGGACAUUGGACACUACAGAAUCACCAUAAAGUCCUUGUUAAAAGCUGACAAUGUAACUGAGUAAUUUUUAUAUGUGGUGGAUGGGAACCAGAGCAAGGAAAACUCAAAACCAAAACCAUGGUAACCCUAAGGAGAACCAAAAUGUAAUAGAUCCUCUAGCCAUCUUUAGAAAAGAAAGAAAUCAAGAAAAGAUCAUAGAAUGGAUAAGCGAUGAGAUCCCGCUAUAUAGCACUGGGAACUAUAUCUAGUCACUUAUGAUGGAGCAUGACAAUGUGAGAAAAAGAAUGUAUAUACGUAUGUGUGACUGGGUCACCUUGCUGUACAGUAGAAAAUUGACAGAACACUGUAAACCAACUAUAAUGGAAAAAAUAAAAAUCAUUUAAAAAAAGAAAAGAUCAUAAAUGAGUGGUUUGAGAUGUGUUACAGUAAACAUGUACAAUAAAAUAAGAAAGUAUAAAUUUAAAAAAUGAGGACCAGUGAAAUGAAUUAAUCUAGGAGCUUAACACCAGGGAAAAAGUUAAAAGAAAAAAAUGUGCAGAUAAUGAGGUGUAAUGUACAACAUGAGAGUUAAACCAUAAAUUUGACUGAGACCUUUCUGGAGCCAAAGCAAAAAAUAAAAAAUUAAUAUAAUCAGUUGCUCCAUUCUCAUUGUCCCUGAGAAGAAAUGUACAAAUUCUUUCAUGGAAAUAAAGCUUUUAA
RNAcentral lists this long non-coding RNA (3220 nucleotides) under Sus scrofa (pig). Its description in RNAcentral is "lncRNA (ENSSSCG00000059995.1)". The record is from RNAcentral. Lineage: Eukaryota; Metazoa; Chordata; Mammalia; Artiodactyla; Suidae.